UUACACAUGCAAGUCGGACGGCAGCACAGAGAAGCUUGCUUCUUGGGUGGCGAGUGGCGAACGGGUGAGUAACAUAUCGGAACGUACCGAGCAGUGGGGGAUAACUAAUCGAAAGAUUAGCUAAUACCGCAUAUAUUCUGAGGAAGAAAGCAGGGGACCAUUUGGCCUUGCGCUGUUUGAGCGGCCGAUAUCUGAUUAACUAGUUGGUGGGGUAAAGGCCUACCAAGGCGACGAUCAGUAGCGGGUCUGAGAGGAUGAUCCGCCACACUGGGACUGAGACACGGCCCAGACUCCUACGGGAGGCAGCAGUGGGGAAUUUUGGACAAUGGGCGCAAGCCUGAUCCAGCCAUGCCGCGUGUCUGAAGAAGGCCUUCGGGUUGUAAAGGACUUUUGUCAGGGAAGAAAAGGGCGGGGUUAAUACCCCUGUCUGAUGACGGUACCUGAAGAAUAAGCACCGGCUAACUACGUGCCAGCAGCCGCGGUAAUACGUAGGGUGCGAGCGUUAAUCGGAAUUACUGGGCGUAAAGCGGGCGCAGACGGUUACUUAAGCAGGAUGUGAAAUCCCCGGGCUCAACCUGGGAACUGCGUUCUGAACUGGGUGACUAGAGUGUGUCAGAGGGAGGUAGAAUUCCACGUGUAGCAGUGAAAUGCGUAGAGAUGUGGAGGAAUACCGAUGGCGAAGGCAGCCUCCUGGGAUAACACUGACGUUCAUGCCCGAAAGCGUGGGUAGCAAACAGGAUUAGAUACCCUGGUAGUCCACGCCCUAAACGAUGUCGAUUAGCUGUUGGGCAGCAUGACUGCUUAGUAGCGAAGCUAACGCGUGAAAUCGACCGCCUGGGGAGUACGGUCGCAAGAUU
This 857-nucleotide ribosomal RNA is filed under the name uncultured Neisseria sp. Its description in RNAcentral is "bacterial SSU rRNA". It matches the Rfam family "Bacterial small subunit ribosomal RNA", at positions 49 to 895 of the family's 1533-position model. The record is from RNAcentral. Lineage: Bacteria; Pseudomonadati; Pseudomonadota; Betaproteobacteria; Neisseriales; Neisseriaceae.